UAUGAGAGUUUGAUCCUGGCUCAGGAUGAACGCUGGCGGCGUGCCUAAUACAUGCAAGUCGUACGCUUCUUUUUCCACCGGAGCUUGCUCCACCGGAAAAAGAAGAGUGGCGAACGGGUGAGUAACACGUGGGUAACCUGCCCAUCAGAAGGGGAUAACACUUGGAAACAGGUGCUAAUAC
RNAcentral lists this ribosomal RNA (181 nucleotides) under Mediterraneibacter torques. RNAcentral's name for it is "[Ruminococcus] torques partial 16S ribosomal RNA". It matches the Rfam family "Bacterial small subunit ribosomal RNA", at positions 1 to 169 of the family's 1533-position model. The record is from RNAcentral. Lineage: Bacteria; Bacillati; Bacillota; Clostridia; Lachnospirales; Lachnospiraceae.